UUGUCGACGACGCGUUCUGUGGCCCUGGAAAAUGCCUUGACGCUCGGGGACGGCCGGUAGCUCGGCGAUUCCUCGCUUGGCGCACCAUUGAAAACCGGCGGUCAUCCAGCAGUGUACGCUGCCAGCGUAUUUUUUAUUGCCAGAGGUAGCAAACAGCAGUGCCACAACAAACAGUGGAGUGCUGACCAUGCAGUCCAGAAGGUGGCUGAGGCAAGUAUGCUAUAGGAGGUGCUUAUUCAGGCAGAAGCAUCUGUAGCCAACGUAAAGGAAGCAUCUUCAAAAAGCACUGCUACAAGGAUGUGAGCAGCAGUUUCCCUUCAACGAACGGGUCAAAUUCAUGGAAGCCACGUGCCUGCUGCUUCUGGCCUACACAAACAUGCAGCCACCAUAGUAAAGUUCUUGCAAAGACAUUCUACACGAACUUGCCCAAAGGCGGAAGGAAGGCACGCACAGAUGGACGCACAGAAAUCAUGGGGCUGCCGUAGAAGCUGUGAAUGAGCAUUAACCUACGUACAGAAAGGAGCGAAGUGGAGCUGUCCAUGGGCCGUGCACACAGUUUCAUAAGCAGGCUUGCAACACUUUUGACAAAUAUGUUCCUGAAUACAUCUGCCAAAGUGGCAUUUA
This is a long non-coding RNA of Rhipicephalus sanguineus (brown dog tick), 624 nucleotides long. RefSeq lists it as uncharacterized. NCBI's taxonomy places the organism in Eukaryota, Metazoa, Arthropoda, Arachnida, Ixodida, Ixodidae. The transcript is spliced from 5 exons. The record is from RefSeq and is a predicted model, not a curated record.